UACGUAGGGACCGAGCGUUGUCCGGAAUCAUUGGGCGUAAAGAGCGUGUAGGCGGCUUGCUAAGUCUUGCGUGAAAUCUCGGGGCUCAACCCCGAGCGGUCGUGGGAAACUGGCAGGCUAGAGUGCGGGAGAGGAGAAUGGAAUUCCUGGUGUAGCGGUGAAGUGCGCAGAUAUCAGGAAGAACACCCGUGGCGAAGGCGGUUCUCUGGAACGCAACUGACGCUGAGACGCGAAAGCGUGGGGAGCAAACAGG
This 253-nucleotide ribosomal RNA is filed under the name uncultured bacterium. Its description in RNAcentral is "partial 16S ribosomal RNA". It matches the Rfam family "Bacterial small subunit ribosomal RNA", at positions 524 to 776 of the family's 1533-position model. The record is from RNAcentral.